AUUGAACGCUGGCGGCAUGCCUUACACAUGCAAGUCGAACGGCAGCACGGGUGCUUGCACCUGGUGGCGAGUGGCGAACGGGUGAGUAAUACAUCGGAACGUACCUUAUCGUGGGGGAUAACGCAGCGAAAGCUGUGCUAAUACCGCAUACGCCCUGAGGGGGAAAGCGGGGGAUCGCAAGACCUCGCGCGAUUAGAGCGGCCGAUGCCUGAUUAGCUUGUUGGUGGGGUAAAAGCCCACCAAGGCGACGAUCAGUAGCUGGUCUGAGAGGACGAUCAGCGACACUGGGAAUGAGACACGGCCCAGACUCCUGCGGGAGGCAGCAGUGGGGAAUUUUGGACAAUGGGGGCAACCCUGAUCCAGCAAUGCCGCGUGAGUGAAGAAGGCCUUCGGGUUGUAAAGCUCUUUUGUCAGGGAAGAAACACCGGCUCUAACACAGUCCGGGAAUGACGGUACCUGAAGAAUAAGCACCGGCUAACUACGUGCCAGCCGCCGCAGUAA
Molecule: ribosomal RNA, 501 nt
Filed under: uncultured bacterium
Lineage: Bacteria
Description: partial 16S ribosomal RNA
Rfam family: Bacterial small subunit ribosomal RNA
Source: RNAcentral